AGCAGCCGCGGUAAUUCCAGCUCCAAUAGCGUAUAUUAAAGUUGUUGCAGUUAAAAAGCUCGUAGUUGAAUUUCGGGGUCAGUAGGUUGGUCAUGCCACUGGUAUGUACUGGUCUCACUGAUUCCUCCUUCCUGAUGAGCCGUAAUGCCAUUAAUUUGGUGUUGCGAGGAAUCUGGACUGUUACUUUGAAAAAAUUAGAGUGUUUAAAGCAAGCUAACGCUUGAAUACAUUAGCAUGGAAUAAUGAAAUAGGACGUUCGAUCCUAUUUUGUUGGUUUCUAGGAUUGACGUAAUGAUUAAUAGGGAUAGUUGGGGGCAUUAGUAUUCAAUUGUCAGAGGUGAAAUUCUUGGAUUUAUUGAAGACUAACUACUGCGAAAGCAUUUGCCAAGGAUGUUUUCAUUAAUCAAGAACGAAAGUUAGGGGAUCGAAGACGAUCAGAUACCGUCGUAGUCUUAACCAUAAACUAUGCCGACUAGGGAUCGGAUGAUGUUAAUUUUUAAUGACUCAUUC
RNAcentral lists this ribosomal RNA (510 nucleotides) under uncultured Glomus. RNAcentral's name for it is "SSU rRNA". It matches the Rfam family "Eukaryotic small subunit ribosomal RNA", at positions 569 to 1081 of the family's 1831-position model. Lineage: Eukaryota; Fungi; Glomeromycota; Glomeromycetes; Glomerales; Glomeraceae. The record is from RNAcentral.